RNAcentral lists this microRNA precursor (208 nucleotides) under Oryza glumipatula. RNAcentral's name for it is "MIR812 microRNA precursor family". It matches the Rfam family "MIR812 microRNA precursor family". Lineage: Eukaryota; Viridiplantae; Streptophyta; Magnoliopsida; Poales; Poaceae. The record is from Rfam by way of RNAcentral.
ACAGACUCUAUUUUUCAGUUUUUAGAUACAACAUUUGAUUCUUCGUCUUAUUUAAAACUUUUCUAUGAUUAAUAAUAAUAAUAUUAUUAUUAGAUAAUAGAACAUGAAAAGGACUUUAUGCGUGACUAAUAUUUUUAAUUUUUUUAUAUUUGUUUCAAAUAAGACGGGUGGUAAAUGUUGGACAAAAAAACCCAAAAAUGAAGUCUCU